GUCCAGACUCCUACGGGAGGCAGCAGUGAGGAAUAUUGGUCAAUGGCCGGAAGGCUGAACCAGCCAUGCCGCGUGAAGGUCAGUGCCCUAUGGGCGUUAAACUUCUUUUGUGCGGGAGCAAUAAUGGUCACGUGUGGCCAGACGAGAGUACCGUACGAAUAAGCAUCGGCUAACUCCGUGCCAGCAGCCGCGGUAAUACGGAGGAUGCGAGCGUUAUCCGGAUUUAUUGGGUUUAAAGGGUGCGUAGGCGGUCGGGAAAGUCAGCGGAAAAAGCCGGGGGCUCACCCCCGGCGAGCCGUUGAAACUGUCGGACUAGAGACGGCGAGAAGUACGCGGAAUGCGCGGUGUAGCGGUGAAAUGCAUAGAUAUCGCGCAGAACUCCGAUUGCGAAGGCAGCGUACCGGCGCCGGACUGACGCUGAGGCACGAAAGCGUGGGUAUCGAACAGGAUUAGAUACCCCUGUAAG
RNAcentral lists this ribosomal RNA (466 nucleotides) under uncultured bacterium. RNAcentral's name for it is "bacterial SSU rRNA". It matches the Rfam family "Bacterial small subunit ribosomal RNA", at positions 329 to 793 of the family's 1533-position model. The record is from RNAcentral.